GAGUUUGAUCGUGGCUCAGAUUGAACGCUAGCGGCAUGCCUUACACAUGCAAGUCGAACGGCAGCACGGGAGCUUGCUCCUGGUGGGCGAGUGGCGAACGGGUGAGUAAUGCAUCGGAACGUAUCCUGGAGUGGGGGAUAACGUAGCGAAAGUUACGCUAAUACCGCAUAUUCUGUGAGCAGGAAAGCGGGGGACCUUCGGGCCUCGCGCUCUUGGAGCGGCCGAUGUCGGAUUAGCUAGUUGGUGAGGUAAAGGCUCACCAAGGCGACGAUCCGUAGCAGGUCUGAGAGGAUGAUCUGCCACACUGGAACUGAGACACGGUCCAGACUCCUACGGGAGGCAGCAGUGGGGAAUUUUGGACAAUGGGGGGCAACCCUCGAUCCGAGCCAUGCCGCGUGAGUGAAGAAGGCCUC
Molecule: ribosomal RNA, 413 nt
Filed under: bacterium enrichment culture clone ALO1_GLFRUDD03HJPHV
Lineage: Bacteria
Description: bacterial SSU rRNA
Rfam family: Bacterial small subunit ribosomal RNA
Source: RNAcentral